AGUGAACGCUGGCGGUAGGCCUAGCACAUGCAAGUCGAACGGCAGCACAGUAAGAGCUUGCUCUUACGGGUGGCGAGUGGCGGACGGGUGAGGAAUACAUCGGAAUCUACUUUUUCGUGGGGGGUAACGUAGGGAAACUUACGCUAAUACCGCAUACGACCUACGGGUGAAAGCAGGGGAUCUUCGGACCUUGCGCGAUUGAAUGAGCCGAUGUCGGAUUAGCUAGUUGGCGGGGUAAAGGCCCACCAAGGCGACGAUCCGUAGCUGGUCUGAGAGGAUGAUCAGCCACACUGGAACUGAGACACGGUCCAGACUCCUACGGGAGGCAGCAGUGGGGAAUAUUGGACAAUGGGCGCAAGCCUGCUCCAGCCAUACCGCGUGGGUGAAGAAGGCCUUCGGGUUGUAAAGCCCUUUUGUUGGGAAAGAAAAGUAGCAGGUUAAUACCCCGCUGUUCUGACGGUACCCAAAGAAUAAGCACCGGCUAACUUCGUG
This 492-nucleotide ribosomal RNA is filed under the name uncultured bacterium. RNAcentral's name for it is "partial 16S ribosomal RNA". It matches the Rfam family "Bacterial small subunit ribosomal RNA", at positions 29 to 507 of the family's 1533-position model. The record is from RNAcentral.